RNAcentral lists this ribosomal RNA (498 nucleotides) under uncultured bacterium. Its description in RNAcentral is "partial 16S ribosomal RNA". It matches the Rfam family "Bacterial small subunit ribosomal RNA", at positions 29 to 523 of the family's 1533-position model. The record is from RNAcentral.
AUUGAACGCUGGCGGCAUGCCUUACACAUGCAAGUCGAACGGUAACGCGGGGCAACCUGGCGACGAGUGGCGAACGGGUGAGUAACGCAUCGGAACGUGCCCAGUAGUGGGGGAUAGCCCGGCGAAAGCCGGAUUAAUACCGCAUACGACCUACGGGUGAAAGGGGGGGAUCGCAAGACCUCUCGCUAUUGGAGCGGCCGAUGUCAGAUUAGGUAGUUGGUGGGGUAAAGGCCUACCAAGCCUGCGAUCUGUAGCUGGUCUGAGAGGACGACCAGCCACACUGGGACUGAGAGACGGCCCAGACUCCUACGGGAGGCAGCAGUGGGGAAUUUUGGACAAUGGGCGCAAGCCUGAUCCAGCCAUGCCGCGUGCGGGAAGAAGGCCUUCGGGUUGUAAACCGCUUUUGUCAGGGAAGAAAAGCCUUGGGUUAAUACCCUGGGGUGAUGACGGUACCUGAAGAAUAAGCACCGGCUAACUACGUGCCAGCAGCCGCCGUAA